GGCAGUAAGUUACUGUAAAACUACUGAAAUCACAGUAUUUAAUUGGUUUUCAUUUCACAGUGAAUACAUAAAAUACUGUAAAUGGAAAUGCGGUACCUCUACUGUAAACUACAAUUACAGUAGUAAGUGUUACCGUAGAAAUUACAGUAGUCAAAACACUACUGUAAAUAAAUCACAAUAUAGCCACUAGUAGCCUAGGCUACUGUAAAUAGUUAAGUAAACUAGCCUACUGUGUUUUCCCUUUUUUAAUCUUAUCUUUCUUUUAACUCAUAAUGACAUACCAGAGACGGUUGAGAAAGUCAAUUUGAUGUCAAGAAUUAAGGCUUUGAUCACACUAUUGAGCAAGCAUAACACAUUUCAGCCUAAUAAUUUUCCACGAUUGUUUUUAACGGCUGCUUAUCGCCUCUUGAUAAGCGCAUGCGCACACGCAGUAAUUCCCAUCCCCCACCCCGGACUUUUCAAAUCCAGCCAGAAUGACUUCACUUCAACCGUCACUUUUCAGUCAUGAAUCUGACUGCAAUUUUCAACUCUGUACAAACAUCAUAUUCAAGUAGGUGGUGUGAGGACUGCUGCCCUGAGAACGCUGUGUCAGAGACACUUAGGCUGUGUGCAUUUUGGAAUGUUCCAAAUGUGUGUCACUUCCAUAAGGAAGAAGUUCCAAGCCUGCAAUUUAUCCCCUCCUUUCAUGUGUCUGUUAUGACUUUGUGGGCUCAACUGUCAACAACUGUCCAGGGCGAAGUCGGUCUACCCUGAUGGCACUACCUGAUGGCACUACCCUGAUGAUGUCUGUUAGCCAUGGCUGCUGCCCUCAACAUGGUGAGCCAUCCAGAAGUCCCAGCCUGGAGCCAGAGGCUGCUAUUGCAAGUCAGAUGGGAGAUGGCCUGACAGUAUGUUAGGCAUCAGAAAAGUGGUGUUCGCAUGAAGGCAGAGUUGCCGCAGGCAAUUAUGAGAUUAGACACUUGACAUUUACUGCGAAAGGUACCAUCAGAGCACCUCUCCCUACCCUGCAGGAUACCUAUACCAGAAGAGUACAACAACGGCCCAAAAGUAUUUCAAAAGACAUUUCACGCUCUGACCACGGACUGUUUAA
Molecule: long non-coding RNA, 1090 nt
Organism: Sardina pilchardus (European sardine)
Lineage: Eukaryota; Metazoa; Chordata; Actinopteri; Clupeiformes; Clupeidae
Exons: 5
Source: RefSeq, a predicted model, not a curated record